GUUAAAUUUUGGGUGGAGUUCCGCAACGAGAGCAACCCUUAUCCUUUGAUGCCAACGCUUAUGUUGGGAACUCAAAGGAGACUGCCAGUGAUAAAAUGGAGGAAGGUGGGGAAGAUGUCAAGUCGUCAUGGCCCAGGUGACCAGGGCUACUCCCGUGCUACAAUGGCGCAUACAAAGAGAAGCGACCUUGCGAGAGCAAGCGGACGUCAUAAAGUGCGUUGUAGUCCGGAAUGGAGUUUGCAACUAGAGUCCAUGAAGUCGGAAUCGCUAGUAAUCGUGGAUCAGAAUGGCACGGUGAAUACGUUUGACGGGCCUUGUACACACCUCCCGUCACACCAUGCGAGUGGGUUGCAAAAUCUC
Molecule: ribosomal RNA, 360 nt
Filed under: Salmonella enterica
Lineage: Bacteria; Pseudomonadati; Pseudomonadota; Gammaproteobacteria; Enterobacterales; Enterobacteriaceae
Description: bacterial SSU rRNA
Rfam family: Bacterial small subunit ribosomal RNA
Source: RNAcentral